This 523-nucleotide ribosomal RNA is filed under the name uncultured bacterium. Its description in RNAcentral is "partial 16S ribosomal RNA". It matches the Rfam family "Bacterial small subunit ribosomal RNA", at positions 28 to 523 of the family's 1533-position model. The record is from RNAcentral.
GACGAACGCUGGCGGCGUGCCUAAUACAUGCAAGUCGAACGCUUUUUCUUUCACCGGAGCUUGCUCCACCGAAAGAAAAAGAGUGGCGAACGGGUGAGUAACACGUGGGUAACCUGCCCAUCAGAAGGGGAUAACACUUGGAAACAGGUGCUAAUACCGUAUAACAAUUGAAACCGCAUGGUUUCGAUUUGAAAGGCGCUUUUGCGUCACUGAUGGAUGGACCCGCGGUGGCUUAGCUAGUUGGUGAGGUAACGGCGCACCAAGGCAACGAUGCAUAGCCGACCUGAGAGGGUGAUCGGCCACAUUGGGACUGAGACACGGCCCAAACUCCUACGGGAGGUAGCAGUAGGGAAUCUUCGGCAAUGGACGAAAGUCUGACCGAGCAACGCCGCGUGAGUGAAGAAGGUUUUCGGAUCGUAAAACUCUGUUGUUAGAGAAGAACAAGGAUGAGAGUAAAAUGUUCAUCCCUUGACGGUAUCUAACCAGAAAGCCACGGCUAACUACGUGCCAGCCGCCGCAGUAA